Molecule: ribosomal RNA, 492 nt
Filed under: uncultured bacterium
Lineage: Bacteria
Description: partial 16S ribosomal RNA
Rfam family: Bacterial small subunit ribosomal RNA
Source: RNAcentral
AGUGAACGCUGGCGGUAGGCCUAACACAUGCAAGUCGAACGGCAGCACAGUAAGAGCUUGCUCUUACGGGUGGCGAGUGGCGGACGGGUGAGGAAUACAUCGGAAUCUACUUUUUCGUGGGGGAUAACGUAGAGAAACUUACGCUAAUACCGCAUACGACCUACGGGUGAAAGCAGGGGAUCUUCGGACCUUGCGCGAUUGAAUGAGCCGAUGUCGGAUUAGCUGGUUGGCGGGGUAAAGGCCCACCAAGGCGACGAUCCGUAGCUGGUCUGAGAGGAUGAUCAGCCACACUGGAACUGAGACACGGUCCAGACUCCUACGGGAGGCAGCAGUGGGGAAUAUUGGACAAUGGGCGCAAGCCUGAUCCAGCCAUACCGCGUGGGUGAAGAAGGCCUUCGGGUUGUAAAGCCCUUUUGUUGGGAAAGAAAAGCAGCAGGUUAAUACCCCGCUGUUCUGACGGUACCCAAAGAAUAAGCACCGGCUAACUUCGUG